CACAUUGCAGGAGUAUGGAAACAAAAAUGCUACAUUUAAUGGGACGAACUGUGUUGAUCAUUCCUACAUUUUUUAUACAUUUCAAACAUCUAUCCCUGCAGAGUAUGCCCGCAAGAUUUACAGUAACCUUCACUGCCACAGACCCGCAGUGUAUGCCUCUCAGGAAAAAAUGGUUAAAACAACAAUCUUGUCAAUCAAGUUAAUUCCUGCAUUUACUAUUCCAUUGGAUUAAGUUAAGCAAACAAAGUUAACCGCUGUAUAUACUUUAUUACUUUACCUGUCAACUAGAUUACACUGAAGUUAUUGUGCGAUUUCUGUUAUAUAUGUAUUAAAUCACCUCUGCUUGGGAGUUACCGCCAUUCAAUAUUCU
Pelobates cultripes (western spadefoot toad) is the source of this 370-nucleotide non-coding RNA. The record is from the annotation of a GenBank genome assembly. Lineage: Eukaryota; Metazoa; Chordata; Amphibia; Anura; Pelobatidae.